RNAcentral lists this ribosomal RNA (253 nucleotides) under uncultured bacterium. Its description in RNAcentral is "partial 16S ribosomal RNA". It matches the Rfam family "Bacterial small subunit ribosomal RNA", at positions 524 to 776 of the family's 1533-position model. The record is from RNAcentral.
UACAGAGGGGGCAAGCGUUGUUCGGAAUUACUGGGCGUAAAGGGCGCGUAGGCGGCCUUCUAAGUCGAACGUGAAAUCCCUGGGCUCAACCCAGGAACUGCGUCCGAUACUGGGAGGCUUGAAUCCGGGAGAGGGAUGUGGAAUUCCAGGUGUAGCGGUGAAAUGCGUAGAUAUCUGGAGGAACACCGGUGGCGAAGGCGGCUUGCUGGGCCAGUUCUGACGCUGAGGAGCGAAAGCGUGGGGAGCAAACAGG